Molecule: ribosomal RNA, 252 nt
Filed under: Fallicambarus gordoni
Lineage: Eukaryota; Metazoa; Arthropoda; Malacostraca; Decapoda; Cambaridae
Description: partial 16S ribosomal RNA
Rfam family: Bacterial large subunit ribosomal RNA (bases 131-252)
Source: RNAcentral
UUUGUGGGUUAUUAUCUAAAAAUAUUUGGUUGGGGCGACAGGGAUAGAAUUUUAAGUAACUGUCUUUUUUUAAAACAGUAAUAUUUGAUUUAAUGAUCCUAAAAGGGAUUAAAGAUUAAGUUACUUUAGGGAUAACAGCGUAAUUUUCUUUGAGAGUUCUUAUCGACAAGAGAGUUUGCGACCUCGAUGUUGAAUUAAAAGUUCUUUAUAGAGUAGAGACUAUAAUAGAAGGUCUGUUCGACCUUUAAACUU